This 2897-nucleotide ribosomal RNA is filed under the name Escherichia coli. Its description in RNAcentral is "23S ribosomal RNA". It matches the Rfam family "Bacterial large subunit ribosomal RNA". The record is from RNAcentral. Lineage: Bacteria; Pseudomonadati; Pseudomonadota; Gammaproteobacteria; Enterobacterales; Enterobacteriaceae.
GGUUAAGCGACUAAGCGUACACGGUGGAUGCCCUGGCAGUCAGAGGCGAUGAAGGACGUGCUAAUCUGCGAUAAGCGUCGGUAAGGUGAUAUGAACCGUUAUAACCGGCGAUUUCCGAAUGGGGAAACCCAGUGUGAUUCGUCACACUAUCAUUAACUGAAUCCAUAGGUUAAUGAGGCGAACCGGGGAACUGAAACAUCUAAGUACCCCGAGGAAAAGAAAUCAACCGAGAUUCCCCAGUAGCGGCGAGCGAACGGGGAGCAGCCCAGAGCCUGAAUCAGUGUGUGUGUUAGUGGAAGCGUCUGGAAAGGCGCGCGAUACAGGGUGACAGCCCCGUACACAAAAAUGCAUAUACUGUGAGCUCGAUGAGUAGGGCGGGACACGUGGUAUCCUGUCUGAAUAUGGGGGACCAUCCUCCAAGGCUAAAUACUCCUGACUGACCGAUAGUGAACCAGUACCGUGAGGGAAAGGCGAAAAGAACCCCGGCGAGGGGAGUGAAAAAGAACCUGAAACCGUGUACGUACAAGCAGUGGGAGCCUCUUUUAUGGGGUGACUGCGUACCUUUGUAUAAUGGGUCAGCGACUUAUAUUCUGUAGCAAGGUUAACCGAAUAGGGGAGCCGAAGGGAAACCGAGUCUUAACUGGGCGUUAAGUUGCAGGGUAUAGACCCGAAACCCGGUGAUCUAGCCAUGGGCAGGUUGAAGGUUGGGUAACACUAACUGGAGGACCGAACCGACUAAUGUUGAAAAAUUAGCGGAUGACUUGUGGCUGGGGGUGAAAGGCCAAUCAAACCGGGAGAUAGCUGGUUCUCCCCGAAAGCUAUUUAGGUAGCGCCUCGUGAAUUCAUCUCCGGGGUAGAGCACUGUUUCGGCAAGGGGUCAUCCCGACUUACCAACCCGAUGCAAACUGCGAAUACCGGAGAAUGUUAUCACGGGAGACACACGGCGGGUGCUAACGUCCGUCGUGAAGAGGGAAACAACCCAGACCGCCAGCUAAGGUCCCAAAGUCAUGGUUAAGUGGGAAACGAUGUGGGAAGGCCCAGACAGCCAGGAUGUUGGCUUAGAAGCAGCCAUCAUUUAAAGAAAGCGUAAUAGCUCACUGGUCGAGUCGGCCUGCGCGGAAGAUGUAACGGGGCUAAACCAUGCACCGAAGCUGCGGCAGCGACACUAUGUGUUGUUGGGUAGGGGAGCGUUCUGUAAGCCUGUGAAGGUGUGCUGUGAGGUAUGCUGGAGGUAUCAGAAGUGCGAAUGCUGACAUAAGUAACGAUAAAGCGGGUGAAAAGCCCGCUCGCCGGAAGACCAAGGGUUCCUGUCCAACGUUAAUCGGGGCAGGGUGAGUCGACCCCUAAGGCGAGGCCGAAAGGCGUAGUCGAUGGGAAACAGGUUAAUAUUCCUGUACUUGGUGUUACUGCGAAGGGGGACGGAGAAGGCUAUGUUGGCCGGGCGACGGUUGUCCCGGUUUAAGCGUGUAGGCUGGUUUUCCAGGCAAAUCCGGAAAAUCAAGGCUGAGGCGUGAUGACGAGGCACUACGGUGCUGAAGCAACAAAUGCCCUGCUUCCAGGAAAAGCCUCUAAGCAUCAGGUAACAUCAAAUCGUACCCCAAACCGACACAGGUGGUCAGGUAGAGAAUACCAAGGCGCUUGAGAGAACUCGGGUGAAGGAACUAGGCAAAAUGGUGCCGUAACUUCGGGAGAAGGCACGCUGAUAUGUAGGUGAAGUCCCUUGCGGAUGGAGCUGAAAUCAGUCGAAGAUACCAGCUGGCUGCAACUGUUUAUUAAAAACACAGCACUGUGCAAACACGAAAGUGGACGUAUACGGUGUGACGCCUGCCCGGUGCCGGAAGGUUAAUUGAUGGGGUUAGCGGUAACGCGAAGCUCUUGAUCGAAGCCCCGGUAAACGGCGGCCGUAACUAUAACGGUCCUAAGGUAGCGAAAUUCCUUGUCGGGUAAGUUCCGACCUGCACGAAUGGCGUAAUGAUGGCCAGGCUGUCUCCACCCGAGACUCAGUGAAAUUGAACUCGCUGUGAAGAUGCAGUGUACCCGCGGCAAGACGGAAAGACCCCGUGAACCUUUACUAUAGCUUGACACUGAACAUUGAGCCUUGAUGUGUAGGAUAGGUGGGAGGCUUUGAAGUGUGGACGCCAGUCUGCAUGGAGCCGACCUUGAAAUACCACCCUUUAAUGUUUGAUGUUCUAACGUUGGCCCCUGAUCGGGGUUGCGGACAGUGUCUGGUGGGUAGUUUGACUGGGGCGGUCUCCUCCUAAAGAGUAACGGAGGAGCACGAAGGUUGGCUAAUCCUGGUCGGACAUCAGGAGGUUAGUGCAAUGGCAUAAGCCAGCUUGACUGCGAGCGUGACGGCGCGAGCAGGUGCGAAAGCAGGUCAUAGUGAUCCGGUGGUUCUGAAUGGAAGGGCCAUCGCUCAACGGAUAAAAGGUACUCCGGGGAUAACAGGCUGAUACCGCCCAAGAGUUCAUAUCGACGGCGGUGUUUGGCACCUCGAUGUCGGCUCAUCACAUCCUGGGGCUGAAGUAGGUCCCAAGGGUAUGGCUGUUCGCCAUUUAAAGUGGUACGCGAGCUGGGUUUAGAACGUCGUGAGACAGUUCGGUCCCUAUCUGCCGUGGGCGCUGGAGAACUGAGGGGGCUGCUCCUAGUACGAGAGGACCGGAGUGGACGCAUCACUGGUGUUCGGGUUGUCAUGCCAAUGGCACUGCCCGGUAGCUAAAUGCGGAAGAGAUAAGUGCUGAAAGCAUCUAAGCACGAAACUUGCCCCGAGAUGAGUUCUCCCUGACUCCUUGAGAGUCCUGAAGGAACGUUGAAGACGACGACGUUGAUAGGCCGGGUGUGUAAGCGCAGCGAUGCGUUGAGCUAACCGGUACUAAUGAACCGUGAGGCUUAACCUU